RNAcentral lists this transfer RNA (73 nucleotides) under Dipodomys ordii (Ord's kangaroo rat). It matches the Rfam family "tRNA". Rfam says of the family: Transfer RNA (tRNA) molecules are approximately 80 nucleotides in length. Their secondary structure includes four short double-helical elements and three loops (D, anti-codon, and T loops). Lineage: Eukaryota; Metazoa; Chordata; Mammalia; Rodentia; Heteromyidae. The record is from Rfam by way of RNAcentral.
GGGAAUAUGACUUAGUGGUGGUAGAGUGCUUGCCUUGCAUGCAUGAAACCCUGGGUUCGAUUCCUCAGUACCA